Molecule: non-coding RNA, 71 nt
Organism: Heligmosomoides polygyrus
Lineage: Eukaryota; Metazoa; Nematoda; Chromadorea; Rhabditida; Heligmosomidae
Source: Rfam
GCGCCGGUGGUGUAAGGCGAACAUCGCUGCCCGGAAAGAAGAAGAUGCGGGUUCGAGUCCCGCCUGGCGCA